UUUAAUAACUUAUUAUAAUACCUGCUCAAUGAUGAUUUUAAAUAGCCGCGUUAGUGCUAAGGUAGCAAAAUAAUUAGUUUUUUAAUUGAAAAAUAGAAUGAAUGGUUUAAUAAAGCUAAGACAAUUUUAUGAAACUUCACGAAAUUAAAAAUUAAGUGAAAAUUCUUAAUUAAAUUUUUUAGACGAGAAGACCCUAUGAAACUAAAAAUUAUUUACAUUUUUAUAAUAAAAAAUAUUUUUAUUUUUUGGGGAAAAAUUUAAUAUUUUUAUUUAAAAAUCUUUAAUUAAAUAAAAUGAUCCUUUAGGAAAAAUGAACUAGUUCCUCUAGGGAUAACAGCAUAAUAUUCAUAAAAGAUCUAAUUAAAUUGAAUGUUUGUGACCUCGAUGUUGAAUUAAAUUUUUAUAUAUGUGCAGAAGCUUAUAUAAAGUAGUCUGUUCGACUAAUUAUAU
RNAcentral lists this ribosomal RNA (450 nucleotides) under Paracalanus parvus. Its description in RNAcentral is "partial 16S ribosomal RNA". Lineage: Eukaryota; Metazoa; Arthropoda; Copepoda; Calanoida; Paracalanidae. The record is from RNAcentral.